Molecule: ribosomal RNA, 494 nt
Filed under: uncultured Bacillota bacterium
Lineage: Bacteria; Bacillati; Bacillota
Description: bacterial SSU rRNA
Rfam family: Bacterial small subunit ribosomal RNA
Source: RNAcentral
GACGAACGCUGGCGGCGUGCCUAAUACAUGCAAGUCGAGCGGACAGAUGGGAGCUUGCUCCCUGAUGUUAGCGGCGGACGGGUGAGUAACACGUGGGUAACCUGCCUGUAAGACUGGGAUAACUCCGGGAAACCGGGGCUAAUACCGGAUGGUUGUUUGAACCGCAUGGUUCAAACAUAAAAGGUGGCUUCGGCUACCACUUACAGAUGGACCCGCGGCGCAUUAGCUAGUUGGUGAGGUAAUGGCUCACCAAGGCAACGAUGCGUAGCCGACCUGAGAGGGUGAUCGGCCACACUGGGACUGAGACACGGCCCAGACUCCUACGGGAGGCAGCAGUAGGGAAUCUUCCGCAAUGGACGAAAGUCUGACGGAGCAACGCCGCGUGAGUGAUGAAGGUUUUCGGAUCGUAAAGCUCUGUUGUUAGGGAAGAACAAGUACCGUUCGAAUAGGGCGGUACCUUGACGGUACCUAACCAGAAAGCCACGGCUAACUAC